Molecule: ribosomal RNA, 510 nt
Filed under: uncultured bacterium
Lineage: Bacteria
Description: partial 16S ribosomal RNA
Rfam family: Bacterial small subunit ribosomal RNA
Source: RNAcentral
GACGAACGCUGGCGGCGUGCUUAACACAUGCAAGUCGAACGAAGAGCGAUGGAAGCUUGCUUCUAUCAAUCUUAGUGGCGAACGGGUGAGUAACGCGUAAUCAACCUGCCCUUCAGAGGGGGACAACAGUUGGAAACGACUGCUAAUACCGCAUACGAUCUGACCUCGGCAUCGAGGAUAGAUGAAAGGUGGCCUCUACAUGUAAGCUAUCACUGAAGGAGGGGAUUGCGUCUGAUUAGCUAGUUGGAGGGGUAACGGCCCACCCAGGCGAUGAUCAGUAGCCGGUCUGAGAGGAUGAACGGCCACAUUGGGACUGAGACACGGCCCAGACUCCUACGGGAGGCAGCAGUGGGGAAUCUUCCGCAAUGGACGAAAGUCUGACGGAGCAACGCCGCGUGAGUGAUGACGGCCUUCGGGUUGUAAAGCUCUGUUAAUCGGGACGAAAGGCCUUUUUGCGAAUAGUGAGAAGGAUUGACGGUACCGGAAUAGAAAGCCACGGCUAACUACGUG